RNAcentral lists this ribosomal RNA (274 nucleotides) under uncultured bacterium. Its description in RNAcentral is "partial 16S ribosomal RNA". It matches the Rfam family "Bacterial small subunit ribosomal RNA", at positions 523 to 796 of the family's 1533-position model. The record is from RNAcentral.
AUACGGAGGCUGCGAGCGUUAAUCGGAAUUACUGGGCGUAAAGCGUACGUAGGCGGUUUGCUAAGUCAGAUGUGAAAGCCCCGGGCUUAACCUGGGAACUGCAUUUGAUACUGGCAGACUAGAGUAUGAUAGAGGGGGGUAGAAUUCCUGGUCUAGCGGUGAAAUGCGUAGAUAUCAGGAGGAAUACCAGUGGCGAAGGCGGCCCCCUGGAUCAAUACUGACGCUGAGGUACGAAAGCGUGGGGAGCGAACAGGAUUAGAAACCCCAGUAGUCC